AGACUUCUGUAUUCGUGCUGAGAUUUCGUCACACACCAGACAAGGGCUGAUGAGACUUCCAAGAUAAGUGAAGCG
Molecule: microRNA precursor, 75 nt
Filed under: Schistosoma curassoni
Lineage: Eukaryota; Metazoa; Platyhelminthes; Trematoda; Strigeidida; Schistosomatidae
Description: mir-3492 microRNA precursor family
Rfam family: mir-3492 microRNA precursor family
Source: Rfam by way of RNAcentral